This 358-nucleotide long non-coding RNA is filed under the name Elaeis guineensis (African oil palm). RNAcentral describes it as "long non-coding RNA (EGUI_LNC048817)". The record is from RNAcentral. Lineage: Eukaryota; Viridiplantae; Streptophyta; Magnoliopsida; Arecales; Arecaceae.
GCCACCACAAACAUCCACUUCACUUCAAGAGAAUCUAAAAGCUCUUGAGUUGGACCCCGACCCCACCACCUUUUGCCUGUGCCCCCCACCAUCCCUGAUGCUGUGUUUUAAGACCAAAGCCAGGGUAAAGGGUAUACUCCCCCCUCCUUGUCCCUUGCUCUCUCUCUCUCUUUCUCUGUCUCUGCCCAUCUCCCAGCCCGCACCAGUGCUUGCAAAAAAUGGGCAGACCUUCGGGCGGUCUUGUCCCCCUCAAACCCUUCCAUUAUUGGGGACGGAUGAGCACUCGGCUUUUGAGUGAUGAUGAAGUCUCAGAGAGAUGAGAGAGAGGACCAUUCUCCUAGCGAAAGGCUUUGGCCCC